This 1319-nucleotide ribosomal RNA is filed under the name uncultured soil bacterium. RNAcentral describes it as "bacterial SSU rRNA". It matches the Rfam family "Bacterial small subunit ribosomal RNA", at positions 28 to 1381 of the family's 1533-position model. The record is from RNAcentral.
GAUGAACGCUGGCGGCGUGUCUAAGGCAUGCAAGUCGAACGCUCCGACGCAAGUCGGGGAGUGGCAAACGGGUGCGUAACACAUUGGUAAUCUACCCCUAACUGCGGAAUAACCUGCCGAAAGGCGGGCUAAUACCGCAUGUGUUCAAUUCGCUUAUGCGAGUUGAAUAAAGAUUUUUCGGUUAGGGAGGAGCCUAUGGCCUAUCAGCUAGUUGGUAAGGUAAAAGCUUACCAAGGCUACGACGGGUAGCGGGUGUGAGAGCACGACCCGCCUCACUGGGACUGAGACACUGCCCAGACUCCUACGGGAGGCUGCAGUCAAGAAUAUUCCUCAAUGGACGAAAGUCUGAAGGAGCGACGCCGCGUGACUGAUGAAGUCCUUAGGGAUGUAAAGGUCUUUUAUAAGGGAAGAACAAAUGACGGUACCUUAUGAAUAAGGGGUUGCUAACUCUGUGCCAGCAGCAGCGGUAAUACAGAGACCCCGAGCGUUAUCCGGAUUUAUUGGGCGUAAAGCGUGCGCAGACGGUUUCUUAAGUCCGUGGUUAAAUCCCGAAGCUUAACUUCUGGACUGCCAUGGAAACUGGGAAACUAGAGGGUGGAAGAGGCUAGCGGAAUUGCCGGUGUAACGGUAAAAUGUGUUAAUAUCGGCAAGAACACCAGAGGCGAAAGCGGCUAGCUGGUACACACCUGACGUUGUUGCACGAAAGCGUGGGUAGCGAAUGAGAUUAGAUACCUCAGUAGUCCACGCCGUAAACGAUGGAUACUAGUCAUUGGCAGUAUCGACCCUGUCAGUGGCGGUUAAAAUAGCUAACGCAUUAAGUAUCCCGCCUGGGAAGUACGGCCGCAAGGCUAAAACUCAAAGGAAUUGACGGGGGCCCGCACAAGCGGUGGAGUGUGCGGUUUAAUUCGAUGAUAAGCGAAAAACCUUACCAGGGUUUGAAAUGUAGCUGCUAAUCCCGAGAAAUCGGGACUCCUUCGAGGGUGCUACACAGGUGCUGCAUGGUUGUCGUCAGCUCGUGUCGUGAGAUGUCGGGUUAAGUCCUUUAACGAGCGCAACCCUCAUCCUAUGUUAAAUAUUCAUAGGAAACUGCCCUGCUAAACGGGGAGGAAGGCGGGGAUGACGUCAAAUCAGCAUGGCUCUUACACCCUGGGCAACACGCGCACUACAAUGGCCGGUACAAAGGGCAGCUAAACCGCAAGGUGGAGCAAAUCCCAUAAAGCCGGUCUCAGUUCGAAUUGAGGUCUGAAAUUCGACCUCAUGAAGUUGGAAUCGCUAGUAACCGUGAAUCAGCAUGUCACGGUGAAUACGUUCUCGGGCCU